Molecule: long non-coding RNA, 3002 nt
Organism: Strigops habroptila (Kakapo)
Lineage: Eukaryota; Metazoa; Chordata; Aves; Psittaciformes; Psittacidae
Exons: 2
Source: RefSeq, a predicted model, not a curated record
CAGCUUGAAUUUGUAAUAACUGGACAGAUGGUCUCGGGAGAUAUCCAAGUGCCUGCAAAUGACAGCAUUUCAGAGCCUGGAAAGCAUUAGCUGGGGUUUCUGCCUCUCUACCAGAGGAAGAUGACAAGCCAAGUUAUCAGCACAAGACAGAAGAGUUUAAUUCCCUUUCCUCACCUUAGUCCAUCUCCCCAGAGACAGCGGGGUGGAUCAGGCACCUUCCCUCCUCACUUUCAGAUGCUCUGUUCAGCACUGCCUGGUGAUGACACCUGAACAAAGGAUCAGUCAAGGCUGUGAAUGAGGUAACCUUUGGAAUUCAGGCACCAAAAGCAUUCUCUGUGUGACAGGAACACAGCUCUGACUGAGCCUGCCUGGCAGCCCGGGCUCCCAGCCUCCUGGUCCCUCCCUGCAGAAAGGAUUUCCAUGCAAACAUGAAGGCAGCACAAGUUGGAAAUCAAAGCUCUUUUCUUCUUUCCUACUGUUUCAUUAAUUCUUUUUCUGAGGGCGUGCUUCAAUGUCAGGGAGAAAGAUCUGGCCAAGGAAUUAACCCAGCAUAGAAAGGAGCCCGAUGCUGAACUUGAAUUGUCUUUUGGCUUUACCUGAAUUUGAUCUAUAGUUUCUCCUUCCUAUAAGCGUUUUUGGGAACUCUAUUUGCAGGCAACUGGCAGGUUCAUGUUCCAGUCCCAAACUCCUUCUGACCCACUCUGUUCUGACCUACAGCUUUCAACAGCCUUUCCAGUGGGGAUCUCAGGUUCUCUUCUUGUUUUGGCUCAAGAGGGAAAUGGUCUCCAAGCAAAAGCAGAUGCUGAGCUAAAAAACCCCAAAACAGCAACCACAAAAAGUGUACUUAACAUCCUGAUCAGAGAUAGUCUGAAGGGUGUAACCUGCUCUGCUGGGCCAGAGUCCGGAGCUGGGGUCACAACAACGUAAAACUGUGACUUCUCAAGGGUGCCUUAAUAGCUUGGAGACCUUUGAGAUUCAUGUGGUACAAACAACAAAAUAGAGUUAAACGUUUGGUCUUCAACUUUGAAAAAGAAGGAAAUCCCUAAUCCAGCACCCUCUCCUGGUAGUUAAGUCAGGGAGAAGUCAAGGAUGAAGUGAGCAUUGUCUCACAGGCUGUGAGGUCCUGACUAUGGGAACACAGGUGGGAGGAAGUUGUCCUGUAAUCUGUGCUGUGUCUGUGUUGGAGAUGAAUCUGCUUCAUCUCCAGAAUGAGUCCCUCGCAGAUUUUGCCUAGAGCUUGCUUGAGAGAAUCUUUCCAGAAAGGCAAGAUCAACAGGAAGAUCUGAACGAGCCGGGAAACGUGUUCUGCUAUCCCUACCAGUUCCCUGUGCCAUCAGACAGGAGGUCCCUGCAGCCACUGUUCUUCUACUGUUUACUACUGACGGCCAGAGAACUCAAAAACAAAUUCCCAUUGACAAUCUAUUAUCACGUGCAGCUGGAAACAGCCAGUGCUUGGGACUUGUCCAAGCAGCUUAAAGCACCAAAGGGCAAGGACUGCCUUCCUGUGGCUCUGACAAUUCUCCAUUCCCUCUCUGCUGAGUCCAGCACAAUGUAGCUGGUUGAUCCCAGCCCUGGAGAAAUCAGCUGCCCUUUAACUUCUGAGCUUCCCAUGACCCACCAACAAAAUCCCAUGUGGAAGGUGGGUAUAAAGAAAAGUGGUUAAAGCAUCCCAGUAAAAUAACAUCAAAGAAAAGCAUUCAUCCUCGUGAUCUAUUACGGACAUCUGAGCAGUACCCAGAGCUCUUGUUGUGACCUUUUGCACGGGGCAUGGUACAAGCCAACCUCUCCCUCCUCAGUCAGACUCAAGACAUGACACAUAGGCAGAGGGAGAGGGAAGUAAGUGUCAAUAGCUGCCCUGAUCAAUAGUGUCUCUAGUUAUAAGCUCAGCAUGUUGAUAAAAACAAAUGAACUAGAGAUGCUGACAAAUUAACAUUUGCCUAAUCGUUAUUCUCAGGCAAUAGAUCAGCACACUGCCAGCCCCGCACACUGUCACCAGCACUUUCAACGAUGGGCAAGGAGCUGUCAAGUGCACGUGUGGUUUUGAAGGGUCAAGGACAGAACUGUGAAAGAUGCUGAAAAUUCAAGUGCAAGAAUCAAAAAGUGACCAGAACUACAGCUGCCAGUAUUUUUUCCAAUUUAUUUCUCCAAUAGAUUUGCCUCCAUCUUUAUGCAUGAAGGAAUUGAGUCCCGCAGAGAUGCAGGAGAUAUAAAAGCUGUAGACCCAACUAGCUCUUGCUGUGGAGUAUGAAUACCCUCCCAUCAUCUACAGACCCAAAGGAAGCUGCAGUACAUGCAGCUUCACUCUUCCACCACCAGCCUUCCAGGUCUAGCCAGCAAAUCUGGCAAAUACUGCUCAUUUGUAGGCUCCAUCCUCAUUGUUAUGGCACUUCAAGCUGCGUUGGCACGAGAGCCUUGGGACUGCUCCUGGGGCUGCCCAUGCCAGUAUCCUCUACCUUGGACUUCAGACUUAUCUUCUCUCCCAGUCUCUCUCCAGGCAGCUGCCCAAAGCCAAGCCUGACUCACCAUGGCUCCGCGCCAACAACAUAACGUUUGUGCUGCUGCUGCUACAAAAAUGAUUGCAAAGCGACUUUUCCAGCAUCAGGGAUUUGUCCAAGGAGAGGGCAAACAAUAUUGCACCGGCGUGAAGUGACUGCAAUGACUUUAGAAUAACAAAUAUGAUGUAAAUGCAGAAUCUGGCACAGGUUACAUCUCGAAGGAAAACUGCACUGUCAUUUUAGCUGGCGUCUUGCAGCUGUAAAUCACGGAGAUUUUAUUAAUUGAGGGGUCAUCCCAGCUUGUGUGGGGAAAUACCAUCCCUGCCUUACAGCAGCGAAACUGAAGCAGGGGUAGGCUGAACUAUUCCAUGGCCCAGCAAAGCCUGUGAUUCCCGAAACUGUCAGCCUGCCAGGACUGACAUUGUAAAUGAGACGACUCAUGCUAGCUGAGAAACAUGUUGAUCUUUGUACCUGCCUGCAGUAAAGAUGCUCCUUCGGCUCACUGAA